RNAcentral lists this ribosomal RNA (1381 nucleotides) under Bacillus sp. mrinalini1. RNAcentral describes it as "bacterial SSU rRNA". It matches the Rfam family "Bacterial small subunit ribosomal RNA", at positions 105 to 1466 of the family's 1533-position model. Lineage: Bacteria; Bacillati; Bacillota; Bacilli; Caryophanales; Bacillaceae. The record is from RNAcentral.
GGGGAAAAAACGGGGGGAACCCCCUCUAAAAGGGUGGAAACUUCGGGAAACCGGGGGUUUAACCCGGGGUCUUAGAUGACCCCCUGGGUCUAAUUAAAAAGGGGUGUUUUAGCUACCCUUUCCAGGGGGCCCCGCGGCCCUUUAGUUAGUUGGUGAGGAAAGGGUUCCACAAGGGAAAGGAUGGGUAGCCGCCCUGAGAGGGGGAUUGGCCAACAUGGGGAUUGAGACCCGGCCCAAAAUUCCUACGGGAGGCAGCAGUAGGGAAUCUUCCGCAAUGGACGAAAGUCUGACGGAGCAACGCCGCGUGAGUGAUGAAGGUUUUCGGAUCGUAAAACUCUGUUGUUAGGGAAGAACAAGUACCGUUCGAAUAGGGCGGUACCUUGACGGUACCUAACCAGAAAGCCACGGCUAACUACGUGCCAGCAGCCGCGGUAAUACGUAGGUGGCAAGCGUUGUCCGGAAUUAUUGGGCGUAAAGCGCGCGCAGGCGGUUUCUUAAGUCUGAUGUGAAAGCCCCCGGCUCAACCGGGGAGGGUCAUUGGAAACUGGGGAACUUGAGUGCAGAAGAGGAGAGUGGAAUUCCACGUGUAGCGGUGAAAUGCGUAGAGAUGUGGAGGAACACCAGUGGCGAAGGCGACUCUCUGGUCUGUAACUGACGCUGAGGCGCGAAAGCGUGGGGAGCGAACAGGAUUAGAUACCCUGGUAGUCCACGCCGUAAACGAUGAGUGCUAAGUGUUAGAGGGUUUCCGCCCUUUAGUGCUGCAGCAAACGCAUUAAGCACUCCGCCUGGGGAGUACGGUCGCAAGACUGAAACUCAAAGGAAUUGACGGGGGCCCGCACAAGCGGUGGAGCAUGUGGUUUAAUUCGAAGCAACGCGAAGAACCUUACCAGGUCUUGACAUCCUCUGACAACCCUAGAGAUAGGGCUUCCCCUUCGGGGGCAGAGUGACAGGUGGUGCAUGGUUGUCGUCAGCUCGUGUCGUGAGAUGUUGGGUUAAGUCCCGCAACGAGCGCAACCCUUGAUCUUAGUUGCCAGCAUUCAGUUGGGCACUCUAAGGUGACUGCCGGUGACAAACCGGAGGAAGGUGGGGAUGACGUCAAAUCAUCAUGCCCCUUAUGACCUGGGCUACACACGUGCUACAAUGGGCAGAACAAAGGGCAGCGAAGCCGCGAGGCUAAGCCAAUCCCACAAAUCUGUUCUCAGUUCGGAUCGCAGUCUGCAACUCGACUGCGUGAAGCUGGAAUCGCUAGUAAUCGCGGAUCAGCAUGCCGCGGUGAAUACGUUCCCGGGCCUUGUACACACCGCCCGUCACACCGCAGAGAGUAGUAUCUAGAGAUUGUUCGUGACUCACUAACUAGUGACAAGGUCGCUUGUUAGAAGGU